CAAAAAGAAAUGGCAGAUUUAUUCAUUAAGCAAGCAAAGCAAUACGCAGAUGCUAGGCCUAACUACCCACUACAACUCUUCCACUUCAUUUCCUCCAAGACUCCUGCUAAAGACCUUGCCUGGGAUGUGGGCACCGGCAGCGGCCAGGCAGCUCAAUCUGUGAGCCUUCUUCUCUCUCUUUCUCCUUCCAUAUUAUGUGUUCCAUGUGUUUAUUACUGAUUUAACAAUUGUGUCGUUAUGCAAAUUUUCUUUGCAGCUUGCUGGGAUCUACGAGAAUGUUGUAGGCACAGAUACUAGCCUGAAGCAACUGGAAUUUGCACCAAAACUUGCCAAUGUUCGAUAUCAGCAAACUCCUGCAGUCAUCCCAAUGGAAGAACUGGAGGAAUAUGUGUCUGCACAAUCCAGUGUUGAUUUGGUGACAAUUGCUCAAGCCCUCCAUUGGUUUGAUCUGCCUGCAUUUUACCAGCAAGUGAAGUGGGUUCUCAAGAAGCCAAAUGGAGUCGUUGCUGCUUGGUGCUACACGGUGCCUGAAGUUAAUGACGCUGUGGAUUCUGUCUUCAAACCAUUUUAUGAGAUUGAUUCUGAUCCUUAUUGGGAUCCAGCACGUAAGUUGGUUAAUGAUAAGUAUGCAACCAUUGAUUUUCCAUUUGAGCCACUGGAGGGAACUGAUCACACAGGACCAUUCAAGUUUGUAACAGAGAGAG
This 704-nucleotide long non-coding RNA is filed under the name Manihot esculenta (cassava). RNAcentral describes it as "long non-coding RNA (MESC_LNC004434)". Lineage: Eukaryota; Viridiplantae; Streptophyta; Magnoliopsida; Malpighiales; Euphorbiaceae. The record is from RNAcentral.